Molecule: transfer RNA, 64 nt
Organism: Cavia porcellus (domestic guinea pig)
Lineage: Eukaryota; Metazoa; Chordata; Mammalia; Rodentia; Caviidae
Rfam family: tRNA
About the family: Transfer RNA (tRNA) molecules are approximately 80 nucleotides in length.
Source: Rfam
GGGGAUUUAGCUCAGCGGCAUAAGCACCUGCCUUGCAAACAGGUGAUUGUGAGUUCAAUCCCCA